AUCUUUUUAGUAUAAUAGUAUACUUGACUUCCAAUCAAGAGGUCCGAUUUAACGGAAAAGAUA
This 63-nucleotide transfer RNA is filed under the name Moina macrocopa. RNAcentral describes it as "tRNA-Gly". It matches the Rfam family "tRNA". Rfam says of the family: Transfer RNA (tRNA) molecules are approximately 80 nucleotides in length. Their secondary structure includes four short double-helical elements and three loops (D, anti-codon, and T loops). Further hydrogen bonds mediate the characteristic L-shaped molecular structure. tRNAs have two regions of fundamental functional importance: the anti-codon, which is responsible for specific mRNA codon recognition, and the 3' end, to which the tRNAs corresponding amino acid is attached (by aminoacyl-tRNA synthetases). tRNAs cope with the degeneracy of the genetic code in two manners: having more than one tRNA (with a specific anti-codon) for a particular amino acid; and 'wobble' base-pairing, i.e. permitting non-standard base-pairing at the 3rd anti-codon position. The record is from RNAcentral. Lineage: Eukaryota; Metazoa; Arthropoda; Branchiopoda; Diplostraca; Moinidae.